Heterocephalus glaber (naked mole-rat) is the source of this 857-nucleotide non-coding RNA. The record is from RefSeq and is a predicted model, not a curated record. NCBI's taxonomy places the organism in Eukaryota, Metazoa, Chordata, Mammalia, Rodentia, Bathyergidae.
AGCACAGAAUUCACAGGAGAAAGACACUCGGCGUCUCUGAGAAUUCUUAGGACAAGCAAGGAAAAUAUUAACUUCCUAAGCAGGUUAAAGCCGACCCCAACAACUUCAAGUAUUAAUUCAACAUGUACAAAUAAGGAUAUGAAGCAUGAAAAAGACCGAAGAGGAAUAAUUAGCAACUGUGUGAUUAGUUACAUCUCUAGGAUAAUUCGCAUCUCUGUGGAAAGAAACUGUUGCUUAUAGGAAUCUCUUUCCUCUUGCCAAAGAAUGCAUGGUUGAAGGCUCAUGUCUUCUCCAGUCAUCAGCAGACUUGAUUGAAUCAGUCCAGGCCACAGAGAGCAGAACUGUAAACAGAAAAUUAUGACUGCCAGAGGAAGAGCACCCAAAUCCAGAACAGACAUUUGCUUCAACAGAAGGUAGUUUUACGAGUACAAGGUCCUGGAAUUUUUACAUAUCUGCAAGGCAAAGAGUGGGAAGGUGGAGGAUUCUUUCAUGAGGCCACUCAACAAGAGCUUGAGGGAGGUUUGGUCUCUGAGAUAGGAGCACCUUUCCACAGGAAAGAUUGAUGGGAAGAAUCCCUGCCUGGCUGAAAUAUGGAGCCCUGGAAAUUGCCACAGAACCAAGAAGAAAAUAAAUCAGGGUCAAACCUGAGGUGCAGGCCUCAGAGGCAAGAGAGACUCCAUGAAACAUAGUUCCUACUCAGCCCGGGAGACACAGAGGACAAGAAAGGAUGAAGGAAUUUUUGGUCUAGAGCAGGAGAGAGUGAGAUCAGAAUCUGCUUUAUGCUGGCCGUCCUCUUCCCCCACCAAUCUCUCCUCCAAUGCAGAACCUGAGAGCUGAAAGCCAGCCAACUGGGGGCA